This 71-nucleotide transfer RNA is filed under the name Dreissena polymorpha. It matches the Rfam family "tRNA". From Rfam's summary of the family: Transfer RNA (tRNA) molecules are approximately 80 nucleotides in length. Their secondary structure includes four short double-helical elements and three loops (D, anti-codon, and T loops). The record is from Rfam by way of RNAcentral. Lineage: Eukaryota; Metazoa; Mollusca; Bivalvia; Myida; Dreissenidae.
GCCACCGGCAUAAUGGAUAAGGCACCGGCCUUCUAAGCCGGGGAUUGCGGGUUCGAUCCCCGCCGGUGGUA